Molecule: ribosomal RNA, 318 nt
Filed under: Triticum aestivum (bread wheat)
Lineage: Eukaryota; Viridiplantae; Streptophyta; Magnoliopsida; Poales; Poaceae
Description: partial small subunit ribosomal RNA
Source: RNAcentral
UGGAAAGAUGUAUGGAUUGGUGAUGUUCUGGCCGACACCCAUCCCAGAGCCUUCUCCUUUGCGCGGCUGGAAGAUAUAUCUAUGAGGGAUUUCUUGCGCAGCACGUCACUUGGUAAAACGUUCCUCCUACCCCUCUCUGCGCAAGCUCUUGAUGAAACCCGUGACCUACAACAACAAACCAUGCAGAUUGAUCUUAUGGAUCCUAAUUCGGCCAAUGACGAAUGGAACUGUGUCUGGGGAUCAGAAUACUCAACCAACAGAUUCUACACCUUCUACUUUAAAGAUGUCCAGGUGCACCGUACAUACAAAUGGAUAUAG